This 111-nucleotide transfer RNA is filed under the name Colletotrichum cereale. Its description in RNAcentral is "tRNA-Val". The record is from RNAcentral. Lineage: Eukaryota; Fungi; Ascomycota; Sordariomycetes; Glomerellales; Glomerellaceae.
GGUCUGGUGGUGUAGUUGGUUAUCACGUCAGUCUAACAAGCCGAGCGAGUCACCUACCAUUGACCUCGUCUCGUUCACUGAAGAUCUCCGGUCCAAGUCCGGGCUAGAUCA